This 574-nucleotide ribosomal RNA is filed under the name Clonostachys pseudochroleuca. RNAcentral's name for it is "eukaryotic LSU rRNA". It matches the Rfam family "Eukaryotic large subunit ribosomal RNA", at positions 1 to 588 of the family's 3401-position model. The record is from RNAcentral. Lineage: Eukaryota; Fungi; Ascomycota; Sordariomycetes; Hypocreales; Bionectriaceae.
UUGACCUCAGAUCAGGUAGGAAUACCCGCUGAACUUAAGCAUAUCAAUAAGCGGAGGAAAAGAAACCAACAGGGAUUGCCCUAGUAACGGCGAGUGAAGCGGCAACAGCUCAAAUUUGAAAUCUGGCGCAAGCCCGAGUUGUAAUUUGUAGAGGAUGUUUCUGGCGACGCGCCUUCCGAGUUCCCUGGAACGGGACGCCAUAGAGGGUGAGAGCCCCGUACGGUUGGAUGCCUAGCCUCUGUGAAACUCCUUCGACGAGUCGAGUAGUUUGGGAAUGCUGCUCUAAAUGGGAGGUAUACGUCUUCUAAAGCUAAAUACCGGCCAGAGACCGAUAGCGCACAAGUAGAGUGAUCGAAAGAUGAAAAGCACUUUGAAAAGAGGGUUAAAAAGUACGUGAAAUUGUUGAAAGGGAAGCGUUCAUGACCAGACUUGGGCAGGUUGAUCAUCCGUGGUUCUCCGCGGUGCACUCUGCCUGCCCAGGCCAGCAUCAGUUCGCCCCGGGGGAUAAAGGUUUUGGGAAUGUGGCUCCCUCGGGAGUGUUAUAGCCCACUGCGUAAUACCCUGGGGUGGACUG